GUUUUUGUGGCCGAGUGGUUAAGGCGAUGGAUUAGAAAUCCAUUGGGGUCUCCCCGCGCAGGUCCGAAUCCUGCUGACAACG
This 82-nucleotide transfer RNA is filed under the name Danionella translucida. It matches the Rfam family "tRNA". Rfam says of the family: Transfer RNA (tRNA) molecules are approximately 80 nucleotides in length. Their secondary structure includes four short double-helical elements and three loops (D, anti-codon, and T loops). The record is from Rfam by way of RNAcentral. RNAcentral also lists the same sequence under 1 other name. Lineage: Eukaryota; Metazoa; Chordata; Actinopteri; Cypriniformes; Danionidae.